GCCCCCGUAGCUCAGAGGAUAGAGCAGCGGUUUCCUAAACCGCGUGUCGCAGGUUCGAGUCCUGCCGGGGGCGCCA
This 76-nucleotide transfer RNA is filed under the name Actinomycetota bacterium. RNAcentral's name for it is "tRNA-Arg". It matches the Rfam family "tRNA". From Rfam's summary of the family: Transfer RNA (tRNA) molecules are approximately 80 nucleotides in length. Their secondary structure includes four short double-helical elements and three loops (D, anti-codon, and T loops). The record is from RNAcentral. Lineage: Bacteria; Bacillati; Actinomycetota.